AUUGAACGCUGGCGGCAUGCCUUACACAUGCAAGUCGAACGGCAGCACGGGUGCUUGCACCUGGUGGCGAGUGGCGAACGGGUGAGUAAUACAUCGGAACAUGUCCUGUAGUGGGGGAUAGCCCGGCGAAAGCCGGAUUAAUACCGCAUACGAUCUACGGAUGAAAGCGGGGGACCUUCGGGCCUCGCGCUAUAGGGUUGGCCGAUGGCUGAUUAGCUAGUUGGUGGGGUAAAGGCCUACCAAGGCGACGAUCAGUAGCUGGUCUGAGAGGACGACCAGCAACAGUGGAACGAACACAGGCCCCAGCCUCCUACGGGAGGAAGAAGGGGGGAUUUGUGGACAAGGGGAGAAAGCCUAAUCCAACAAGGCGGCGUGUGUGAAGAGGGCCUUCGGUUUGUAAAGCACUUUUGCCCGAAAAGAAACCCUGGCCCCAAAUACGGUGGGGGGAGAAGGGUCCCGAAAAAAAAAGCACCGGCUAACUACGGC
RNAcentral lists this ribosomal RNA (486 nucleotides) under uncultured bacterium. RNAcentral's name for it is "partial 16S ribosomal RNA". It matches the Rfam family "Bacterial small subunit ribosomal RNA", at positions 29 to 508 of the family's 1533-position model. The record is from RNAcentral.